CAAUAGCGUAUAUUAAAGUUGUUGCGGUUAAAAGCUCGUAGUUGGAUUUCUGCCGAGGACGACCGGUCCGCCCUCUGGGUGAGCAUCUGGAUCGGCCUGGGCAUCUCUUGGGAGAGUAGCUGCACUUGACUGUGUGGUGCGGUAUCCAGGACUUUUACUUUGAGGAAAUUAGAGUGUUUCAAGCAGGCUUCCGCCUUGAAUACAUUAGCAUGGAAUAAUAAGAUAGGACCUCGGUUCUAUUUUGUUGGUUUCUAGAGCUGAGGUAAUGAUUAAUAGGGAUAGUUGGGGGCAUUCGUAUUUAACUGUCAGAGGUGAAAUUCUUGGAUUUACUGAAAGACGAACACUGCGAAGCAACUUGUCCAAGAGUGUUUUUCAUUAUCAAGAACGAAAGUUAG
This 395-nucleotide ribosomal RNA is filed under the name uncultured eukaryote. RNAcentral's name for it is "SSU rRNA". It matches the Rfam family "Eukaryotic small subunit ribosomal RNA", at positions 592 to 993 of the family's 1831-position model. The record is from RNAcentral.